UGGUUCAGUGGUAGAUUUCUCGCCUUCCAAGCAGGAGACCCGGGUUCAACUCCCGG
This 56-nucleotide transfer RNA is filed under the name Loxodonta africana (African savanna elephant). It matches the Rfam family "tRNA", at positions 8 to 63 of the family's 71-position model. Rfam says of the family: Transfer RNA (tRNA) molecules are approximately 80 nucleotides in length. Lineage: Eukaryota; Metazoa; Chordata; Mammalia; Proboscidea; Elephantidae. The record is from Rfam by way of RNAcentral.